AACGCUAGCUACAGGCUUAACACAUGCAAGUCGAGGGGCAGCACAGUGCAGCAAUGCAUGGGUGGCGACCGGCGCACGGGUGCGUAACGCGUAUCCAACCUUCCCGUUACUCAUGGAUAGCCUUCCGAAAGGGAGAUUAAUACAUGAUGGUGUUGAAAUUCCGCAUGUUAUUUCAACUAAAGAUUUAUCGGUAACGGAUGGGGAUGCGUUCCAUUAGCUUGUUGGCGGGGUAACGGCCCACCAAGGCUUCGAUGGAUAGGGGUUCUGAGAGGAAGGUCCCCCACACUGGAACUGAGACACGGUCCAGACUCCUACGGGAGGCAGCAGUGAGGAAUAUUGGUCAAUGGCCGGAAGGCUGAACCAGCCAAGUAGCGUGAAGGAUGAAGGUUCUAUGGAUUGUAAACUUCUUUUAUAGGGGAAUAAAACCUCCCACGUGUGGGAGCUUGUAUGUACCCUAUGAAUAAGCAUCGGCUAACUCCGUGCCAGCAGCCGCGGUAAUACGGAGGAUGCGAGCGUUAUCCGGAUUUAUUGGGUUUAAAGGGAGCGUAGACGGGAGAUUAAGUCAGCUGUGAAAGUUUGAGGCCCAACCUUAAAAUUGCAGUUGAUACUGGUUUCCUUGAGUGCGGUUGAGGUGUGUGGAAUUCGUGGUGUAGCGGUGAAAUGCUUAGAUAUCACGAAGAACUCCGAUUG
Molecule: ribosomal RNA, 690 nt
Filed under: uncultured Bacteroidales bacterium
Lineage: Bacteria; Pseudomonadati; Bacteroidota; Bacteroidia; Bacteroidales
Description: bacterial SSU rRNA
Rfam family: Bacterial small subunit ribosomal RNA
Source: RNAcentral